AGCGAACGCUGGCGGCAUGCCUAACACAUGCAAGUCGAACGAACCCUUCGGGGUUAGUGGCGGACGGGUGAGUAACACGUGUGAACCUGCCCUUAGGUUCGGAAUAACUCAGGGAAACUUGUGCUAAUACCGAAUGUUGCCUUCGGUGGAAAGAUUUAUCGCCUUUAGAUCGGCCCGCGUCUGAUUAGCUAGUUGGUGAGGUAAAGGCUCACCAAGGCGACGAUCAGUAGCUGGUCUGAGAGGAUGAUCAGCCACAUUGGGACUGAGACACGGCCCAAACUCCUACGGGAGGCAGCAGUGGGGAAUCUUGCACAAUGGGCGAAAGCCUGAUGCAGCCAUGCCGCGUGAAUGAUGAAGGUCUUAGGAUUGUAAAAUUCUUUCACCGGGGACGAUAAUGACGGUACCCGGAGAAGAAGCCCCGGCUAACUUCGUG
This 433-nucleotide ribosomal RNA is filed under the name uncultured bacterium. RNAcentral describes it as "partial 16S ribosomal RNA". It matches the Rfam family "Bacterial small subunit ribosomal RNA", at positions 29 to 507 of the family's 1533-position model. The record is from RNAcentral.